Long non-coding RNA from Hevea brasiliensis (rubber tree), 578 nucleotides. RefSeq lists it as uncharacterized. The transcript has 3 exons. The record is from RefSeq and is a predicted model, not a curated record. NCBI's taxonomy places the organism in Eukaryota, Viridiplantae, Streptophyta, Magnoliopsida, Malpighiales, Euphorbiaceae.
GUCACCGAUUGGACCGGGUCUUGUGUCCAAAACCAUCUACUCGGCGAGAGCUUUCCAUAGACACCAAGAACGCCGAAAUCCAUCGAGCGGAUUGUCCGAUUUUAGCUCGGGAAGAUUUUAGCCCAUUUCGACUUUUGGGCUAGAUUUCUCGAAAACCGUGAAUCCCACGAGAAAACCGAGGCUACCAGCACGCUCCACUCGACGAGAGCUUCGCGGGAUAUUAAUUUCAAAAUUUUCCGACAACGUUUUUCGGUAUUCUCAAUUCGCGGAAAUUCGACAGUUGACCGGGUCUGCAAAUUUCGGACCAGACAGACCCGUUACCGGAAAAGUCUCCGAAUUGGGCCGAGAUUUUGCCUACCCCCCCAUUGUCAGACGUCCCGAGCGCGUCCCCGAGGUCGGAAUCGGCAAAGGCCACAGGAGGAUAUUUUAUUCUGGGUUAACCUGCUUUUAUCCUUCGCAGGUUGUUUAUCCAUGUUUGUGUAAUUUUAAUUACUCCUAGAAUUUCCGCAUGUGUUAGCAGUAUUUAUUUGAAUUUGGUCUGUAAUAUUUUUAUCAUGUUGGACCUGUAAACUUAAAUA